UACGAAGGGGGCUAGCGUUGCUCGGAAUCACUGGGCGUAAAGGGUGCGUAGGCGGGUCUUUUAAGUCAGGGGUGAAAUCCUGGAGCUCAACUCCAGAACUGCCUUUGAUACUGGCGAUCUCGAGUCCGGGAGAGGUGAGUGGAACUGCGAGUGUAGAGGUGAAAUGCGCAGAUAUCAGGAAGAACACCCGUGGCGAAGGCGGCUUACUGGUCCGGAACUGACGCUGAGGUGCGAAAGCGUGGGGAGCAAACAGG
Molecule: ribosomal RNA, 254 nt
Filed under: uncultured bacterium
Lineage: Bacteria
Description: partial 16S ribosomal RNA
Rfam family: Bacterial small subunit ribosomal RNA
Source: RNAcentral